CCUACGGGUGGCAGCAGUGAGGAAUAUUGGUCAAUGGGCGGGAGCCUGCACCAGCCAAGUCGCGUGAGGGACGACGGUCCUAUGGAUUGUAAACCUCUUUUGUCGGGGAACAAAGGCGCCCACGGGUGGGCGGAUGAGUGUACCCGAAGAAAAAGCAUCGGCUAACUCCGUGCCAGCAGCCGCGGUAAUACGGAAGGUCCGGGCGUUAUCCGGAUUUAUUGGGUUUAAAGGGAGCGUAGGCCGCAUGUCAAGCGUGAUGUGAAAUGUCCGGGCUCAACCCGGGCCUUGCAGCGCGAACUGGCGUGCUUGAGUCCGCGGAAAGCAGGCGGAAUUCGUCGUGUAGCGGUGAAAUGCUUAGAUAUGACGAAGAACCCCGAUUGCGAAGGCAGCUUGCUGCAGCGGAACUGACGCUGAUGCUCGAAAGCGCGGGUAUCGAACAGGAUUAGAUACCCGGGUAGUC
RNAcentral lists this ribosomal RNA (460 nucleotides) under uncultured bacterium. RNAcentral describes it as "partial 16S ribosomal RNA". It matches the Rfam family "Bacterial small subunit ribosomal RNA", at positions 338 to 795 of the family's 1533-position model. The record is from RNAcentral.